GUGCUCGCUUCGGCAGCACAUAUACUAAAAAAUUGGAACGAUACAGAGAAGAUUACCAUGGCCCCUGCGCAAGGAUGACACGCAAGUUCAUGAAGCGUUCCAUAUUUUU
This 109-nucleotide small nuclear RNA is filed under the name Urocitellus parryii (Arctic ground squirrel). The record is from RNAcentral. Lineage: Eukaryota; Metazoa; Chordata; Mammalia; Rodentia; Sciuridae.